RNAcentral lists this transfer RNA (82 nucleotides) under Pleuronectes platessa (European plaice). It matches the Rfam family "tRNA". From Rfam's summary of the family: Transfer RNA (tRNA) molecules are approximately 80 nucleotides in length. Their secondary structure includes four short double-helical elements and three loops (D, anti-codon, and T loops). Further hydrogen bonds mediate the characteristic L-shaped molecular structure. tRNAs have two regions of fundamental functional importance: the anti-codon, which is responsible for specific mRNA codon recognition, and the 3' end, to which the tRNAs corresponding amino acid is attached (by aminoacyl-tRNA synthetases). tRNAs cope with the degeneracy of the genetic code in two manners: having more than one tRNA (with a specific anti-codon) for a particular amino acid; and 'wobble' base-pairing, i.e. permitting non-standard base-pairing at the 3rd anti-codon position. The record is from Rfam by way of RNAcentral. Lineage: Eukaryota; Metazoa; Chordata; Actinopteri; Pleuronectiformes; Pleuronectidae.
GACCAGGUGGUUGUGUGGUCAAGGUGAUGGAAUGUUAAUCCAUUGUACCUUGGAUGCAUAGGUUUGAAUCCUAUCCUUGUCA